GUGUGUGUGCGUGAGUGUGUGUUCUGUGUGUGUGGCCGUGAGAUGUGCGUGUGUGUGCUACGUGUGCGUGCGUGAGUGUGUGUUAUGUGUGUGUGGCCGUGAGAUGUGUGUGUGUGCGUGAGUGUGUGUGGCCGGCUCAAAUAGUAGACUAGUUUAGGGACUAAUUUAGUUAGUUAGUCUAAUUAGUAGUACUAGUUGAUUAGUCCAUUAGUAGAUGACAUGUGGACCCCCUGAUAGUUUACAGAAAAACAAAUUUUAAGAAAAGCCAAAGUCAAUGACAUGUGGCCCCUACAUUGUUCAUAUGUUGACUUGUCAAUAUUUGACUGGGUCAACCCAACCCCACUGACCCCACUCACAUACACUAUGGCUAGAAUAGCACUAGAUGACAAAAGUAUUUUGCUGUUUUAUUUUCAAAUUAAAAGAAUUCUGUAACUCGGAAAAUCAAUGAAAACUUUGCAAAUUAAUAUAAAAUAAACCGUACCUCGGAUGAAAAUACUUUAUACACGAAAGUUGCUCAGAACGACGAGACGAUCUCAAAUACGCAGUCCGUUCGUCCGUCACACGUCCCUAGCAUAGCGUACACGCGACUUUCCUCCUCCGAAUCAUCUGUCCGAAAACGCGAAACACCGGGGAUAUUUUCGCGGAUGUUUCCCCCCUUCACUGGUAUCACCUCAUACCGCGUUAGGUCACCUCUAGCACCACGUAUUGCCAUGUUAUGCUCUGUGAUGCUUUGAUUGCUCUGUUAUUUAUUGUGUUCCCCUCCGUUACUUCUUUCUGGUACACCCCGAGACCGUUGUCAGUAUCCCUGUGAUCGACUACAUCGACGACGAACCCUUCUUGCCAGAGCAACCAGGAAAGCCCCCCUUUGAUAACCAGAUAUCGCCUAUUCUUCUCUCUACUGCUUGCAUUAGAGUAGUGUAGCAUGUUACUGCUUGCCGUUAUCCUAUCCUGAUGCAUAGCUUGUCCUUGCUACUACUGUUGAUACCUUUACCUGCAAUCCUAAAUACUUAGUAUAGGAUGCUAGUGUUCCAUCAGUGGCCCUACACUCUUGUCUGUCUGCCAUGCUAUACUACUGGGCCGUGAUCACUUCAGGAGGUGAUCACGGGCAUAUGAUAUAUACUUAUACUGUUACAUUACUUAUGAUACGGUUCGGAGAUGGGGGCUGAAGGGGCAGGUGCCCUCCGUCCUGGUAGAGGUGGGCCUGGGUUCCCGACCGCCCCUGACUGUUACUUUGAGGCGGAGCGACAGGGCAAGUUGAGACCACCUAGGAGAGAGGUGGGCCAGGCCCUGGUCGGCGUUCGCGGAUACUUAACACGUUUAACGAGAUCUUGGUAUUUGAUCUGAGUCUGGCCACUGGCCUAUAUGCACUAACCAUCUACACGAGGACAGUUAUGGGCACUCGACGUCGUGGUAUCAGCCGAAGCCUUCGUGAUGUCAGCGACUGAGCGGCGCGCGCCAGGUUGGACUGGAACACCUGCUCUUGUAUAAGGGAGGCUAGGUCUGCUCACCGGCCGUGUACGCAACGUGCAGGUGUGCAAUGGGCGAUGGGCGCAGAGCCCAGCGCCAUAGGAUUUAGACCGGCGUGCUGACCUCUCUGUUGUGCCUAGGUAGGGCUGCGACGUGUUGAUCUUCCGAGGCCGGGCAUGACCCAGAAAAGUGUGUCCGGCCAAAUGGGAUCGAGCGUGUUGGGUUAUGUGGUGCACCCCUGCAGGGAAGUUAAUCUAUUCGAAUAGUCGUGAUCUUCGGUAACAGGAUGACUUGGAGUUGUACCUUGACCUUAUGACAACUAGAACCAGAUACUUAAUAAAACACACCAUUCCAAGUGCCAGAUACAACCGGUGAUCGCUCUCUCACAGGGCGAUGAGGGGAGGAUCAUCGGUUAGGAUUAUGCUACACGAUGCUACUUGGUGAACUUACCAUCUACUCUCUUCUCCUGCUGCAAGAUGGAGGUUACCAGAAGCGUAGUCUUCGAAAGGACUAGCUAUCCCCCUCUUAUUCCGGCAUUCUGUAGUUCAGUCCACAUAUGAUACCCUUAAUCCAUUGAAUACCAAUGCAUACAUAUGUAGUGUAGCUCCUUGCUUGCGAGUACUUUGGAUGAGUACUCACGGUUGCUUUGCUCCCUCUUUUCCCCCUUUCUAUACCCGAUUGCUGCGACCAGACAUUGGAGCCCAGGAGCCAGACGCCACUGUCGAUGACGACUACUACUACUCGGGAGGCGCCUACUACUACAUGCAGCCCGCUGACGACGACCAGGAGUAGUUUAGGAGGGUCCCAUGCAGGAGGCAUGCGUCUCUUUCGAUCUGUAUCCUAGUUUAUGCUAGCCUUCUUAAGGCAAACUUGUUUAUAUUAUGCCUGUGCUCACAGAUUGUUGCUUCCGCUGACUCGUCUAUGAUCGAGCUCUUGUAUUCGAGCCUUCGAGGCCCCUGGAUUGUAAUAUGAUGCCUGUAUGACUUUUUUUAUUUGUAGAGUUGUGUUGUGAUAUCUUCCCUUGAGUCCCUGAUCUUGAUCAUACACAUUUGCAUGUAUGAUUAGUGUAUGAUUGAAUCAGGGGCAUCCCAAGUUGGUAUCAGAGCCAACUGCCUGUAGGAAUCCCCCUCCACACUCCUUGGCCGAAGUCGAGUCUAGUCAUUACAAAAGUUUUACUAACAUGGAUGUGUGUCUUACGAGCCCACGUCGCCAUCUGGGUGAUAUUAGGAUCUUUUAUUCCUCAACCUAUACUCUGGGACUCUGAUCUCUUUUCUAUUCAGGUUAAAUGAUUUUUACUAACGCCGGCUCUAGGUUCUCGUAACUACUUCCUCCUGGAGAGCCCCUCACUCCCGAUGAUCACUUGCUGCACCAGAAGAUUCCGAAGAUACUCUAGGAAGUUCUCUCGAGCUUUGUGCCCACUUCUUUUGCAAUUCGCUACCACCGACAAAUCCUUAUGGAUAACUUCUUACCCUUGCCAUUCUUACAUUCAUCCCUAGCUUCUCUUGUUAUUACAAGAUGCAUCGAAUUGUUCUUUGACUUUUAAGAAUCUCUUGAGCCAUUGCAUUGCAGAUCUUUGCCACCUGAAUACCCCUACGGAUAAUUCUUGCACUUACUGAGUAUCCAUUCAUCCCCAAUUGUUCAUAUGUUUCACCAAAGUCUUCGAAAUACUAUUUGAUCUUCCGAAAACCCUCAGCAGCUUAUUGCUCUUGAAAUUCUUGCUUGCUUGCAUUAUGGUUAAUCCCAUAAGUAUUGUAAUCUUAUUGGCAUCCUUUGCCACUAUCAUUUUGAGCCCAUUGAUUCAAUAAGUGCGAAUGCUCGCAAUCCUCAACCAGAUGCUAUUCAUCCUUCCGACUUAGGCACCAUUUUAAACAUGAGCUGGAUCUCGACCAAUCAAUUUGCCAUCGAUUGUACCCCUAAGGCUAUACAACUUAUCCAUCCCUAAUCAGAGCAUUGCUUCUGAUCCCUUGUCUUGGAAUUCGUAAUUCCUAUGCAAUUGAGCUUUGAGUUACUCAGUUGUUUCUAUCAUCUGAUCCCCUUGCAUUCUUUCUUCUUUUAGUAGAGUACCGAUACUCACAUCAGCUCCGUUGUGGAUCGUCAGAUCCAUUGUUGGAUUUCAUCCGACAUCGUCCUUAAUAUUCAAUAACCAUGUGAGCCUUUCCACGGGUAUAUAAUGCCUUUGGUAAACUGUAUCCUCUGCCUUGGCCAACCAUGCUCUACUUUCGAGCUGGUGAUAUUUACUCUUGAAACUUGAGGUAUAUGUUUCGAAGAUAUCUCGAUGGGUUGAACCUUAUGCCUUCCUUAAUCUGUGUGAACCCGAAAACUUUUCACGGGUCAUACUCCUCUAGUAAUUCACCCGGUAGGUUUUCACACUGAAAUCAUUUUUUUGCAGUGAAUGAAAGGUUAUGCAUUGGAGGAGUGGGAGUCGACCUUGAACUUUGUGUUCAUACCCAAGGACACGAUGUAGAUCUUACCAUUAAAGCUUCUCUUAAAUUAAAUUAUUCCCUUGGUAUAAGCUCAUCUUAUAUCUGGGAUCUGGCCUUUUUGCAAUCGUGGUUCCGACCACAUUUUCUCCUUAAUUCCAUUUCUCAAACAAGUUAAAAUACUUGUCUUCGAUUGAUCGAUACUUCUCCACAACCUCUAUUUUGAUCUUCCUUCGAGUAUUGCCCUCCGGUAUCUCGAGAAUAUCAAAGAACUGUGCUGCUUCCUAUGAGUCUUCAUCUAGUAUUGCUUCUCGCCGUUUUCAGAUUUUCCCCGGGUUCUGAGUUAUUAGUCACUCGAGAACACCGAUAAGUGAAUUGAUUCCGCACUACAAUUCAAUAACUCUAAGUAAUUCUCGUUGCUUACGAGUUUAAUAAUCCUUCAAGUCAUUCCUAGCCUGAUUGGCUAUAUCAUUAUCGUGCUGAUUUUAACUGUGCUACCUGGUCCUUAUUCCCGGAGUACAACUUUCGACGAUGAGCUAAGCUUACGUCGAUCUUCCUCAUCAUAUCAUUUUGCCUUGAUUAGCAAGCUUGAUUUCGAGUUUGUGUCGUACUCGUGGUUCCAAUAACCUUUCGCUUCAUCAUUCCUUUAGCUUGAUGUCAUGCCUAGCACACCUGACCAGAGGACCUGUUGUUAUAGUUUCAUUUUUAACAAGGUUAACCAUUCUUCCAUGAGGAAAUUGUAAGACUUAUUCUACAAGUUGUUCCUGAUGAAUCCCUUCGUGUAUCCAGAGUCUGACAUUUGCUUGAAGACCAUGUCAAUGCUAUCUCGAAGCAUGUCUGAGGUACUCCAAUUUUCAAAGAGAACAUUUGAAGCCCAAUGCUAAAUGUUUCCUGCUCAAUUACCCAAACACUAUAUGGUAAUGUCAUGAAAUCCCCCCCCCCCUUACCUAAAUGGUUUUCUACAUUAUAUCCUAUCAAGGAAAUCAUGCUUUGCUUGUCCUUGGGAAGAAUAUACCCUUGAAAUAUGUGUUUAAACACAUGUUCCUUUCCAUUGUUCUGUUUAAACCUGAUAAUCACUUUCCCUUUCCAUUGGUUUGUUUAAACCUUCUUGUGAUCUAUAUUGUAUAAGCAGUAAUAUAUCACUGCUUAUGUAAACACCUCGUUGUACCACUCUGUUAGAAAGACCCUGUUACCUUUGUUGAUGAAAUUUCGGUAACACCGAUGGACAAGAACUUUGCCUAUUGGUCCGCCUCGUUCAACGAGCAGGAAAAUGGUUCUCUUUAUCCCUCACCCUUGGUACCGACGUUGUUGCUGACAUAACUGAUAGGCUACCCUCUGACAUGCCUUGCCAUCAUGACCGUGCAAGAUGUCACCGCACUUCCUACAUUUAACCCACAUGGUGGGCCCAUAACCCAUAGUUCCACAGGUUCAAAACCUGACUCCUGUACACCCCUAUUCCCAAGGUUGUUCCUCGCACGUGGCAUCGUAUGUAAUUCAUGAGCCACCUUUUGAGGGAUCAUCAAUUAUGGUAUCCAACACAAUACUUAUCCCCGUUGCUUUGAACCCCUUUCACGCCCUGUUUCAGGCAUCGAACGAUUUCCUACUCGCUUGAAACUUUUUAUGGUACUGAGGGAGUCCUGGAUUAGGGGGUGUUCCGGUAGCCGGACUAUACCUUCAGCCGGACUCCUGGACUAUGAAGAUACAAGACUGAAGACUUCGUCCCGUGUCCGGAUGGGACUUUCCUUAGCGUGGAAGGCAAGCUUGGCGAUGCGAUAUUCAAGAUCUCCUACCAUUGUAACCGACUCUGUGUAACCCUAACCCUAUCCGGUGUCUAUAUAAACCGGAGGGUUGUAGUCCGUAGGCAAUCAACUCCAUACACAACAAUCAUACCAUAAGCUAGCUUCUAGGGUUUAGCCUCCUUGAUCUCGUGGUAGAUCUACUCUUGUACUACCCAUAUCAUCAAUAUUAAUCAAGCAGGAGUAGGGUAUUACCUCCAUCGAGAGGGCCCGAACCUGGGUAAAACAAAGUGUUCCCUGCCUCCUAUUACCAUCCGGCCUUGACGCACAGUUCGGGACCCCCUACCCGAGAUCCGCCGGUUUUGACACCGACAUUGGUGCUUUCAUUGAGAGUUCCUCUGUGUCGUCGCUUUUAGGCCCGAUGGCUCCUUCGAUCAUCAACAACGAUGCAGUCUAGGGUAAGACUUUUCUCCCCGGAUAGAUCUUGGUCUUCGGCAGCUUCGCACUGCGGGCCAAUUCGCUUGGCCACCUUGAGCAAAUCGAAAGCUACACUCCUGGCCAUCAGGUCAGGUUUGGAAGCCUAAACUACACGGCUGACAUCCGCGAGGACUUGAUCUUCGACGGAUUCGAGCCACAGCCAAGCGCGCCACACUGUCUCGAUGGGCAUGAUAUAACUCUGCCACCGAACAGCGCCUUGGAGGCCGCACACGCAUCGGUUCCGACCAUUGAUUCGGAGCCUACUGCACCGAUCGAGGAUCAGCGGUUGGACGCUGCCUCAGGGGCUGCGAUCUCAGAGGCGAUUGAGCCGAACUCCAGCCCCGCACUCCGCAUGGCCCGUGACUCCGAGGAGCCAGAUUCCUCUCCGAGCUCCGAGCCCCCCGCGCCCCUGCCGAUCGAAUCCGAUUGGGCACCGAUCAUGGAGUUCACCGCCGCGGACAUCUUUCAGCACUCGCUCUUCGGCGACAUCCUGAAUUCUCUAAAGUCUCUCUCUUUAUCAGGAGAGCCCUCGCCGUACUAUGGUCAGCAAGGUUGGGAUACGGACGACGAAGAAAUUCAAAGCCCACCCACCACCCACUUCGUAGCCACUUUCGACGACUUAACCAACACGCUGGACUUCGACUCCGAAGACAUCAACGACAUAGACGACGAUGCAGGAGACGAACAAGAACCAGCACCUGUAGGGCGCUGGAAGGCCACCUCAUCAUAUGACAUAUAUAUGGUGGAUACUCCAAAAGAUGGAGAUGGCGAUGGAACAGUGGGGGAUGAUGCCCCCAAGAAACAGCAAAAGCGCCAGCGUCAGCGGCGCCGCUCUAAAUCCCGCCAAAGCAAAAACGGUGAUUCCGGCACGGGAGAUAAUACUACCCCGGAUAGCGCCGAAGAACACCCACCUCAGCAAAAUUCGGCAUAGGAAGAUGGAGAAACCAGCCCUCAUGAAAGAGUGGCAGACCGAGAGGUCGAGGAUGAUAACUAUACGCCUCCCUCCGAAGACGAGGCUAGCCUCGAUGACGACGAAUUUGUCAUACCAUCAGACCCCGCCGAACAAGAGCGUUUUAAACGCAGGCUUUUAGCCAUGGCAAGCAGCCUCAAGAAAAAGCAGCAAUAGCUUAGAGCUGCGCAAGAAUUGCUAGCUGACAGAUGGACUGAAGACCUUGCGGCCGAAGAGUAUGAACUCGAACGCUCCUCCAAGAGUUACCCGAAGCGCAGGCCGCUACCCCGAUCAGAGGAGGAAGCACCUACAUCACCAGCGCAUGACAUGGCAGACCGGCCACCUCGCGGUCGCGACAGAGAGGCCUGUCGGCCCUCCACCCAAGCCAUGCCCCGACGCCGCUCAACUAAGCCACGGGAAAAUGCACCCGACCUGCAAGACAUACUGGAGGAUAAGGCAAGACAAACCAGAUCGAUCUACGGAUCGCGUAGGCGCCCUAUGGCAUGUGACAAUGAUCUUCACUCCGGAUACAACAAAUCCGGCCGGGCCGAACACAACAGACAUAGCUCUUCCGAGGUGCAUCGUGAUAUAGCCCAGUACAGAGGGGCCGCACACCCGCUAUGCUUCACGAAUGAAGUAAUGGACAUAAAAUCCCAGAGGGCUUCAAACCUGUAAACAUCGAAUCAUACGAUGGCACAACAGACCCGGCGGUAUGGAUCGAGGAUUAUCUCCUUCACAUCCACAUGGCACGCGGCGAUGAUCUACACGCCAUCGAAUACCUCCCGUUCAAACUUAAAGGACCGGCCCGGCAUUGGCUUAACAACUUGCCAGCAGACUCAAUCGGUUCUUGGGAGGACCUGGAAGCCGCAUUCCUCGACAACUUCUAGGGCACUUACGUGCGACCGCCGGAUGCCGACGACUUAAGCCACAUAAUUCAGCAGCCAGAGGAAUUGGCAGACAAUUCUGGACACGGUUCCUAACAAAGAAAAACCAGAUAGUCGACUAUCCGGACGCAGAGGCCCUAGCAGCCUUCAAGCAUAACAUCCGCGACGAGUGGCUUGCCCGGCACCUGGGACAGGAAAAGCCGAAAUCCAUGGCAGCCCUCACGACACUCAUGACCCGCUUUUGCGCGGGAGAAGACAACUGGCUAGCUCGCAGUAACAACUUAUCAAAGAACCCUGGUAAUUCGGACACCAAGGACAAAAGUGGCAGGACACGUCGGAAUAAGCAAAAACGCCGCGUCAAUAGCGACAGCAAUGAAGACACGGCAGUCAAUGCCGGAUUCAAAGGCUAUAAAUCCAGUCAUCGGAAAAAGCCAUUCAAAAAGAAUACUCAGGGCCCGUCCACUUUGGACCGAAUACUCGAUCACUUGUGCCAGAUACAUGGCACCCCCGAAAGGCCAGCCAAUCACACUAACAGGGAUUGUUGGGUGUUCAAGCAGGCAGGCAAGUUAAGGGCCGAAAACAGAGACAAGGGGCUGCACAGCAACGACGAGGAGCCCAAGCCGCCGAACAACAAUGGACAGAAGGGCUUUCCCCCACAAGUGCGGACGGUGAACAUGAUAUACGCAACCCACAUUCCCAAGCGGGAGCGAAAGCGUGCGCUAUGGGACGUAUACGCGAUAGAGCCAGUCGCCCCAAAGUUCAACCCAUGGUCCUCCUGCCCGAUCACUUUUGAUCGAAGGGACCAUCCCACUAGCAUCCGUCAUGGCGGCUUCGCCACAUUGGUUCUCGACCCAAUCAUCGACGGAUUUCACCUCACAAGAGUCCUCAUGGACGGCGGCAGUAGCCUGAACCUGCUUUAUCAGGAUACAGUGCGGAAAAUGGGCAUAGAUCCCUCAAGGAUUAAGCCCACAAGAAAGACCUUUAAAGGCGUCAUACCAGGUGUAGAAGCCAACUGUACAGGCUCAGUAACACUUGACGUGGUCUUCGGAUCCCCGAACAAUUUCCGAAGCGAAGAGUUAAACUUCGACACAGUCCCGUUUCGCAGUGGCUAUCACGCCCUUCUCGGACGAACCGCAUUCGCAAAGUUCAACGCGGUGCCGCACUACGCAUAUCUCAAGCUCAAGAUGCCAGGCCCUCAAGGAGUAAUUACGGUCAACGGAAACACCGAACGCUCCCUUCAUACGGAGGAGCAUACGGCGGCUCUCGCAGCGGAGGUACAAAGUAGCCUUCUCAGGCAAUUCUCUAGUCCGGCCAUUAAAAAGCCAGACACUGCCAAGCGCGCCCGGAGUAAUCCACAGCAGGACUGCCUGGCACGCUCUGAGCAAGCGUAGCAAUGCGGCCCCAACCCCAGCUUUCGCAAUAUAGCGAAACCAGUACCUCGCGUACAUAACUACGCCCUGGAAAUACCAUGGGCACAGGGGAAGGGGCACAAUAACGGCACACCCAAAAUACGGCCUAAAACAUACUAGGGGCUGCCGGAUUCUUUUUUUAAUUUUUCUUACUUUCAGGACUCCAUACUUCGGAUGACCUGUUCGGCAAUUCGACUGCCGCACAAACGAUGCAAGAUCCAGGGAGGCAGACAAGCCAUGCACAUUAUGGAAUCCCAGGUGGUCUCUGUUACGAGCGCUAUACCUGUUUUAAAUACAAUUCCGCGGCCUACCCCUGGUCAGGACAUACUGAAUAGUCCAAUAUCUUCUUCUUACCGCACUAUUUGUAUCGUUCGGCUUUGUUAAAUAGCCUCUCUAUAAACAAUGCUUAGCUUUUUGUCUAUUUUUUGCAUUACUCUCUUUUAUAUAUGUUCAUUAAUGACAUGUUGCACCCGUACACUGUGGUAUGGCAAGUACGCCAGGGGCUUCAGUACCCUUUAAUAUGGUGUGAGAAGCCCGUACACUUUCACAAGUGCGGCACCCCGAACUUAUAGCACUAUAUGCAUCGGCUCUGAAUCAUGAUUUGGGUCAAUAGUUGGGUUUGCCCAGCUCCUAUGUUUUGCUGCCUUACGUUCCGCUAUAUCGGCUAAGGUAGCACUAGGAGAACCACUGCGAUUGUGCCCCGGUUGAGCUGGGUUAAGCACCUCAGUGGAGAAAGCUAAAACUAACUGUCAUGAUGAGGCGAGAGACCGGUCGCUGUUCGAGAGGUUUUUCGAGUCCCUAAAGACUUAUGCCACUUCGAGCGAGGAGCUGGAUAACCCCAGCCAAGGCGUGGAUAGCGCCCCGAACUCAGUCUUCCGAACUAGGGGCUUUGCCGAAAUUUAAAAUUAUAAAGUUCUAUGGCUAAGUGAGAGUGUUCAAGCAUUAUAGUCCGAUUGCCUGGUUCGUCAUGCUGAGCGCCUCCCUCGAAGGACCCAAACAUGGGAAAAAGAGCGCACAGGUUUAUCACCGAACACCCCAGCACUAGUGGCAUGGGGGCAGAAGCCGACGACUGGCCAUCUCUCAAUUUUUGAUAAACGGCCGCACAGAAAAUAAUAUUUUAAAUUCAAUAAGCAUUGCUUAGCGCAUAUGAACAAGUUUUCAGCGCAUAGGAUAAAAUCGAGCGAGUUCAUUCAAAAAUUACAUCCUUGGUACACUCAUCCACUACAAGGCGGGCACCCGCAAGAACGUCCUUAUAGUAGUUCUCGGGCUUGCGAUGCUCCUUCCCCGGCGGCGGCCCGUCCCUAACAAGCUCCUCACCGUCCAGCUUACCCCAGUGCACCUUUGCACAGGCAAGGGCCCUACGGGCACCUUCGAUGCAGAUGGAGCGCUUGAUGACCUCAAGCCUUGGACAGGCCUCCACCAGCCGCCGCACCAGCCCGAAGUAGCUCCCAGGCAGGGCCUCUGCGGGCCACAGCCGAACUAUGAAGCCUUCAUGGCCUGUUCGGACGCCUUGUGGAGCUCGACCAGCUGUUUCAGCUGGUUGCUCAAGGCCACAGGGUGUCCGGCCUCAGCAUACUGAGACCAGAAAACCUUCUCCGUCGAGCUGCCCUCUUCAGCUUAGUAGAAUGCGGCGGCAUCGGAUACGCUGCGGGGAAGAUCUACGAAUGCCCCUGGAGAGCUCUGGAUUCGGGUAAGUAACAAGUAGUUUACUUUUAUAUUUCUGCUUUGCAUGAAGAAUGCCUUACCCACUGCUAUCUUUUUCACCUCCUCCAACUCUUGGAGGGCCUUUUGGGCUUCGGCCUUGGCAGACUUGGCAGUCUCAAGGGCCGUCGCGAGCUCGGACGCUUGGGUCUUUGACUCAAGCUCCAAACUGUCAUGUUUUUUCAUGAGAGCCUAAAGCUCUUGCUGCACCUCGCCAACUUGAGCCCCAAGUUUCUCUCGCUCAGUGCGCUCCGCGGCUGUUUUCUUUUCGGCCUCAGAUAGCGCCUACUUGAGGGUCGCCACCUCAGUCGUGGCCCCUACAAUAAGCAGCACAAUCCUGGUUUUUUUUUGCAAUCACGCCUCUCUAUAGGCACCUUUUUCUAUAAGGUAUUUCGUACCUUCUUUCUCCUCGAGCUGCCGCUUAGCAAGGCCGAGCUCUUGCUUGGUCCGCUCGAGGUCCUGUUUCAGGACACCCACCUCCGCAGUCAGUGCAGCAGUGGAUAGCAGCGAAGCCUGCAUACGCAUAUUGACUCUUUAUUGUUAGACUCCUACGAAAUUUAAUAGAUCCUCUAUUCGGCUUUUCUUUCCGAACGCCAAACAGAGCAUCAGGGGCUACUGUCUAUGCGGUAAUAUUUUUACAUAUUUUUUACUUACCUCGAAGCCUGUUAGGAGGCUAGCACAAGCUUCACUCAGUCCGCUUUUGGCGGACUGAACCUUCUGGAUCACCGUACUCAUAAUAGUACGAUGCUCCUCGUCGAUGGAGGCGCCUUCAAGCACCUCCAGCAGAUUGUCCGGCACCUUCGGUUGGACGGAGGCUGCCGGCUCAGAAGGCUUGCUUCUCUUGGGAGGAGUUCGCCUGCCGCGGUCCGGAAUCGUUGAAGGUUCCGGCACGGUGUCCGGCUCAAAGCCGGACUUGGAGCCCUGGGGGGUCUUGUCCCCUUUACUCCUGGAGUUCGGGAGGUCGCCUUGCGGCUCCUCCAGGACCACCUCCUCCUGCCCCGGAGCUCGUUGCAACUCCACUUCGGCAUCGUCCGCGGUGUGGGGGGAGAUAGCGGGCGGAACUGAGUUCACGUCCGAUGAAUCUAGGGAGCCGCUCGGCGACUCGUUGAGUUUGGCCCGGGGCGGGCUGCAUGAUUAUAUUCGACAUUAGGUAAAGUUGUGCAACGAAAGGAAUAUCAUGAGUUACUCUGGUAUCUGAACACUUACGAUUUCGCCGGACGCCUGGCCCUGUCCGGCCACUCCUCUUCGUCCUCGUCGGCGUCGGGGGCGUAGUCCGGCGGAGGGGUUUUCCUUUUCUUGGACCCUUCGGCCUUCCCCCUUGGGGCGGCCUUCCUUUUCUUUCCUCCCUCCGCUGGGAGGGGAGAGUUUUCUUCUUCCUCCUCCUCGUUUUCACGGGAGGAGGGCGUCUCGGACUCGUCGGAUGACGAGAACGACAACACCACAUUGCGGGUACUCCUUUGAGUCCCCGUGGUCUUCUUCUUCUUGGCCUUCUUUUCCGGCACCACAUAAGGCGCCGGAGCCAGCAGCUUCAAUAGUAGAGCUGGGGCUGGCUCUUCGGGCAGCGGAGCCGGAUAGUUAAUCGGUCCGGAUACCGCCCGCCAAGCCUGUCAAAGGUAAGGGAGUUUAGAUCCCGCAUAGAGUUAAACUAUGAAAAAAAAGCUGAACAUCCUGUAAAAGGUGAAAAUAGCUUACCUCGCUAGCGUGACGCUGCGAGCUGUAUCCGCGGUCCUCGGAGGCGGAUGCGGGAGCCUCGACACCUUUGAUUAGCACCUUCCAGACAUCUUCAUACGUCGUGUCGAAGAGCCUAUUAAGGGUUCGGUGCUGUGCCGGGUCGAACUCCCACAGAGUAAAGUCCCGUUGUUGGCACGGGAGGAUUCGGCGAACGAGCAUGACCUGGACUACAUUUACAAGCCUGAUUGACUUGUUUACUAGGGACUGGAUGCAUGUCUUCAGUCCGGUCACCUCUUCCUCGUUACCCCACGAUAGGCCCGUCUCUUUCCAGGAUAUGAGCCGCGUGGGGGGUCUGGAUCGGAACUUGGGGGCUGCGAUCCAUUUCGGAUCGCGUGGCUCGGUGAUGUAAAACCACCCGGCUUGCCACCCCUUUAGGGUCUCUACGAAGGAGCCCUCGAACCACAGGACGUUGGCAAUCUUGCCCGCCAUGGCGCCUCCGCACUCCGCCUGGUUGCCGCACACCACCUUGGGCUUGACGUUGAAGGUCUUGAGCCAGAGGCCGAAAUGGGGGCGGACGCGGAGGAAAGCCUCGCACACGACGAUAAACGCCGAGAUGUUGAGGAUGAAGUUCGGGGCCAGAUCGUGAGAAUCUAGGCCGUAGUAGAACAUGAGCCCCGGACGAAUGGGUGAAGUGGAAAACCCAGUCCACGGAGGAAGUGGGGAAGAAAUACUACCCUCUCAUGGGGCCUUGGGGUGGGGAGGAGCUGCCCCUUCUCGGGAAGCCGGUGCGCGAUGUCUUUGGACAAGUAUCCGGCCUUCCUAAGCUUUUUUACGUCGCCCUCCGUGACGGAGGAGACCUUCCACUUGCCUCCCGCUCCGGACAUCGCUAGAGAAGGUUGAGGUGGGAAGUGCAGGCUUGGGCGCUGGAGCUCGAGUGCGCAGGAGAUGGAUAGGCAAAGGAGGAAGAAGGCGUAGGAAAAAAGGUGGAUCCUUAUCCCCUUAUAUGGGCGGAUGCGGUUAUGCCUCCCCACCUGCCUAAUAAAACUCGCUUGCCUCCCAAGCGCCGUGGUAAAUGGCGCGGUUAGGGUUACCCACGUCCGUAUUGAUGAGAAUCCCGUAAAAAGGGCACACGAUCUCUGCUUUGACGAGAGUGCCAAGGAAACCGCCUCGCAAAACAGGCUGAGGUGGAAAAGUAAAAACGAUUCGAGUAAAGGACUUGGCCAUAGUGUGAUAGCGCACUGCGGAAUACGUCAACAGAUUUGAUUUGUGUUAAUAUUAUUCUCUCUAUGGCAAUAUGUGGAAGCUUAUUUUGCAGAACCGGACACUACUCUUGGUGUUUACAAUCUUCUACGAAGGACUUGGAGGAGGAACCCGCCUUGCAAUGCCGAAGACAAUUUGCGCGACGGACUCGUCAUUGAAGCCUGGUUCAGGGGCUACUGAGGGAGUCCUGAAUUAGGGGGUGUUCGGGUAGCCGGACUAUACUUUCAGCCGGACUCCUGGACUAUGAAGAUACAAGACUGAAGACUUCGUCCCGUGUCCGGAUGGGACUUUCCUUAGCGUGGAAGGCAAGCUUGGCGAUGCGAUAUUCAAGAUCUCCUACCAUUGUAACCAACUCUGUGUAACCCUAACCCUAUCCGGUGUCUAUAUAAACCGGAGGGUUGUAGUCCGUAGGCAAUCAACUCCAUACACAACAAUCAUACCAUAGGCUAGCUUCUAGGGUUUAGACUCCUUAAUCUCGUGGUAGAUCUACUCUUGUACUACCCAUAUCAUCAAUAUUAAUCAAGCAGGAGUAGGGUAUUACCUCCAUCGAGAGGGCCCGAACCUGGGUAAAAUAAAGUGUUCCCUGCCUCCUGUUACCAUCCGGCCUUGACGCACAGUUCGGGACCCCCUACCCGAGAUCCGCCGGUUUUGACACCGACAGGUACCUUUCUUACUUAGCUCUCGGUGUUUUCUUAAGUUUCAGUUCAAGAGUUACUUUCCGCCACCUUCUCGAUGUAAUCGACCAGAUAGUCAACCUUGCAGAGGUCCGUUCUUCCGAAGUUACCCCUGGUCCUUUCAUAAGUACGAUGAAAUUUCCGAAGAAAGGAUGAUGACAUGAAGCAGAGAUAUGAAGACAUCAAUGCUAUGGAUCGACCUCUUUGAGAAGGGCAGCCUAGGCCGAGAAGACUCGUUAGAAUUUCGUAACCAAAUCUUUUCCCCAUUAGUCCCUCUCUUAUAUCUCGAGACGAGAUUUCUUGUAGUGGAGGAGAAUUGUGACGCCCAGAUAAUUAAGCUACAGUAACUCCACGCUAAAGAUGCCAAGUCAGCAUGCUUACUAAGCUAAUUGCCCUUUGAUUGAAAACGAAUUAAAAUUCAAAAUUAAAUUGCAAGUCAAAGUUAUACUUGUCAAAAAAUGCAAACAAAAUAGUUAAGGCCUUUCGAAAAUAAUCUAAAACCCUGUGGAUAGUUCCACAAUAUUACAAAGUAUUUAUGAGACAAGUUUCUUAUGUAACAAAUUUAUUUGGAUCUAAAACAAAUCAAAACAGAAAGUUUAAAAGAAAAGAAAAUGAAGAAAUGCUAGACACUUAGGCCUACUACUACAGGAGGAGGCCCAACCCACGUCCACGUCUCCUGCUACCUCUCGCUACAGUGGGAGCAGGGGGAUCGGGCGGCCAUCCACGCCUCCCUGGUCGCCGUGUCGAGCAUCCAGUACCUCCACGAGGAGGAUAAGGUCACCCCGACCCAGUAGACGAAAACCCUAGCCCCAAAUCCUUCUGCCUCUCUCUCUCUUUCGAUUCAGAAGUUUGCCCGAGAGCUACUUGUCAUGGACAUCGUCGUCGUCGCGGCCACCGACUCCCCCGGCGCCUGAAAAGUUGUCCAGGAGUUGCACCAUGGACGUCUCCUUCGGCUACUUCUACUGGUUCGAGCGGGGAAGCACUGCAUCGCGGGGAUCGAUGCGUCUUCCUCGCCUACAGGCGCCGUUGCCCCGCGCCCGAUCUACCUCACCGAAGCUCCUCCGCCCUGCCGGAUGCUCCCUCGGCCUUCCCCUGUGAGCUCCACCCCCAUUCCCCUUGAUCCCCCCUCUGUUCGUUGCUCUAUUGCGCCGCCCAAGUUUCGGCCGAUGGCCACGGUCACCGCGACCACGUUACGCUCACCGCGCCCGCGCCCUACAUCCUGGCCGCCUAGUGCGCGCCGUGGCCGUGCCGACACGCCCUAUGUCCACAGCACAUGCCACUCGGCCUGCGCCCUGACCGGCGCCCGACCGUGCUCGCGCAUGGCCGCGCCCGUCCGCUGCCGCGCUGCUGCUUCCGGCCGCCGCUGCCGCUGCUUUGUUUUAGCUGCUGUCGCUGCCUUGUUCUGUUACUUGCAGCGGGGCUGCUCUGCUUGCCACUGCGUGCACUCCCGCUUGCUGCGGCCUACUGAGUUGCUGCUUGCCUCGCGCCCAUGGCUGCUACUGCCGUCGGCUGCUGUUGUUGGAGCUGGCCAUGGCGCUGUGUGUGUGGCCGUGAGAUGUGCGUGUGUGUGCUAUGUGUGUGUGCGUGAGUGUGUGUUCUGUGUGUGUAUGGCCGUGAGAUGUGCGUGUGUGUGCUAUAUGUGUGUGCGUGAGUGUGUGUUAUGUGUGUGUGGCCGUGAGAUGUGCGUGUGUGUGUGCUAUGUGUGUGUGCGUGAGUGUGUGUUAUGUGUGUGUGGCCGGCUCAAAUAGUAGACUAGUUUAGGGACUAAUUUAGUUAGUUAGUCUAAUUAGUAGUACUAGUUGAUUAGUCCAUUAGUAGAUGACAUGUGGACCCCUGAUAGUUUAUAGAAAAACAAAUUUUAAGAAAAGCCUAAGUCAAUGACAUGUGGCCCCUACACUGUUCAUAUGUUGACUUGUCAAUAUUUGAUUGGGUCAACCCAACCCCACUGGCAUACACUAUGGUUAGAAUAGCACUAGGUGACAAGUAUUUUGCUGUUUUAUUUUCAAAUUAAAAGAAUUCUGUAACCCGGAAAACCAAUGAAAACUUUGCAAAUUAAUAUAAAAUAAAUCGUAC
Molecule: long non-coding RNA, 16721 nt
Filed under: Triticum aestivum (bread wheat)
Lineage: Eukaryota; Viridiplantae; Streptophyta; Magnoliopsida; Poales; Poaceae
Description: long non-coding RNA (TAES_LNC010356)
Source: RNAcentral